Non-coding RNA from Pelobates cultripes (western spadefoot toad), 1491 nucleotides. Lineage: Eukaryota; Metazoa; Chordata; Amphibia; Anura; Pelobatidae. The record is from the annotation of a GenBank genome assembly.
CUUUCUUUGUCUUAGGGAUGAGCAUAACCACUGAGUAAUAGCGUCCGUCCCACCCUCACCUAGUGUAAGGGUUUUGCCUGCUGGUGGUAAUGUUUUUCUUUACAUAAGGUUAUCUUCAUGGUUGUUUUCAUAAAAUGGUUAUUCAGCCUAUUUCUAACUGCUUUGUUUUUUACAGACUAUACAGACUAUAACCGCACUCCAAGACAAGACCAACUAACCAAGGAUCCACCUAAGUAUGAAGAUUGGAUGCUAGUAGUAUCGGCAAUAUGGAAUUUUCAUGAGCUCCCUGCAUUAAGAAUCUGCUUUCAGAGACUUGUUACAUUUCAUUUUUCUUUACAGAACGCAUUUUGUUGCAAUUUGAUGUUUCAGUGUCUAUUUGAUACUUUCUUAAGCUUAGACAUUGUUGCCUUGUUAUCCGUUUAGCUGUGUCCUUUAUACAAAAGCUUUCAAGUCCAUCUCAUAUGGCUAUUUUCUUUACUAUUGGGUUCUUGAAUUCUGUUUUUGUUUAGAUGUUUAAGUUACUCUACCUUUUGGGUAAUAUAUAUUCUCAGUGUUUUGUGGGAUGAGCUAAGCAUUCGCAGUUUCCCAUUUUUAAAAAUCCAUGGUGUGACGAAAGCACCUUCAUCACUGGGACUUGGAGAGGCCUGCUUGCCAGCCUUUUGACCUUUGACUAUGGCCCCUGGGAUAUAUUGCCCUUUAAAACCACUAUUUGGGCAUAUUGGAUUUUAAAGGCACUGUUACUGCCCCUUGGACUUUUAACUGGAACAGAGUCAAACAUGUGGCGGCGGCCUUCUUAAAUUGUCCAGCAGUGUUUUGCCGUCAAGUGUAUGGAACUGUUUUGGACAUGGGACCAUGUGCACGGUGGGGCAAAAAUAAGACUUCCAGGAAAUUCCUGAACCCCUGAACAGAACUGGGUGAUUUUUGGAUAUGUUGUUCACCCAGAUCGGGGCUAUGUGGGGAUAUGUUGUAUUUUGGGGGUACUUUUUGGGGUUUGUAAAAAAAAAAGAAAAAGAAAUUCUGCAUAGAGUUAACUGAGUUAGUCCAUUGUCUUAGUUAAUUGUAUCACAGGCAGAGGGGAGGGCUUGUGUGCUGUAUGUGGGAGGGUCAGACAUUGUUGUAUUGUUCUGAUUGGUUUGUGUGCCUGUGUUCCAUCAGGCCCAAGGGGGUGUGCCUCUGGCCUCAGGAAUUGUAUAAAUCGUGAGUGCUGGCUUGUAUUAAACAGACCUGUUCUACCCUUCAUGAAGUCUUGGCUCAUGUUUGGGGGAUUGCUAUAAUCACUAUACUCCCUAGAGUAAGCUCUUGUAAGAGCUUGUUCCUGUUUCUGCUCUCUGGAUUCUAAGAGAGGUCUGCCUACUGGAAGCUGGAUCCUGGUCUUGGGUCCAGAGUGGGUGGAAGACGGCGAGACCCCAACCAAGCUGCGUCGGUUCGUGGGGUCUGCGGUGGUUAUGGUGUCUGUUGAAGUGCUUGGAGCCCUCGGGAAGCACUAGGAGC